CGGUAUUGGCUUAUUGGCUGGGAUUGG
Molecule: small RNA, 27 nt
Filed under: Bombyx mori (domestic silkworm)
Lineage: Eukaryota; Metazoa; Arthropoda; Insecta; Lepidoptera; Bombycidae
Description: ovarian small RNA-14520
Source: RNAcentral